UACGUAGGGUGCAAGCGUUGUCCGGAAUUAUUGGGCGUAAAGAGCUCGUAGGCGGUUUGUCGCGUCUGCUGUGAAAACUCGGGGCUUAACCCCGGGCCGGCAGUGGGUACGGGCAGACUAGAGUGCGGUAGGGGAGACUGGAAUUCCUGGUGUAGCGGUGAAAUGCGCAGAUAUCAGGAGGAACACCGGUGGCGAAGGCGGGUCUCUGGGCAGUAACUGACGCUGAGGAGCGAAAGCGUGGGGAGCGAACAGG
This 253-nucleotide ribosomal RNA is filed under the name uncultured bacterium. RNAcentral's name for it is "partial 16S ribosomal RNA". It matches the Rfam family "Bacterial small subunit ribosomal RNA", at positions 524 to 776 of the family's 1533-position model. The record is from RNAcentral.